CAGUACCACGGUAAUACAGAGGGUGCGAGCGUUAAUCGGAUUUACUGGGCGUAAAGCGUGCGUAGGCGGCUUCUUAAGUCGGAUGUGAAAUCCCUGAGCUUAACUUAGGAAUUGCAUUCGAUACUGGGAAGCUAGAGUAUGGGAGAGGAUGGUAGAAUUCCAGGUGUAGCGGUGAAAUGCGUAGAGAUCUGGAGGAAUACCGAUGGCGAAGGCAGCCAUCUGGCCUAAUACUGACGCUGAGGUACGAAAGCAUGGGGAGCAAACAGGAUUAGAUACCCCAGUAGUCCCUGUCUCUUAUACA
This 301-nucleotide ribosomal RNA is filed under the name uncultured bacterium. RNAcentral's name for it is "partial 16S ribosomal RNA". It matches the Rfam family "Bacterial small subunit ribosomal RNA", at positions 509 to 808 of the family's 1533-position model. The record is from RNAcentral.